Molecule: long non-coding RNA, 1102 nt
Organism: Tachysurus fulvidraco (yellow catfish)
Lineage: Eukaryota; Metazoa; Chordata; Actinopteri; Siluriformes; Bagridae
Exons: 4
Source: RefSeq, a predicted model, not a curated record
UUACUUAAUUUGGACAAGACAAAAGUAUUUUUUCUAGGAUUACAGGCAGCUAGAAGUAAUCUGAUAAUUUUGUAACACUGGAUGGCCUUUUACACAUUGUGUGCAGCUGUAUAAAACAUUGGACUUGGUCUUGCUCUCAUUUUAAGAUAAUAAUAGUACUUUUUUUCAUUACAGAAAUAUUGUAAGAACAGAAAAUGUCACUGUGUGGUGAUGACAAAACUAGUUCAUGAUUUUAUUAUUUCCAGGUUGGACUUUUGUAACAUCUUGUUCUCUGGAUGUUCCAGUAAGCGCACAAACAAGCACCAGAAUAUACAGUACAGGAGUAGAGAAGUGUAAAAGGUCUUUUGUGAUCUCUUACCUUCUAAUGAGCUGUGGGCAUUUCAGCAGCGUUUGGUCUGAUCAGUGGGUCGAGCUGCUGUGUAGGCUACAAUGAGCACUCUUCAAACUGCUGACAUUAUGCACAGGCCCCUCAUGUCAAACCACACAAGACCUACCUGAUCCAUCCUAAUGAUCUACUUCUGGUUGGAGUCACAUCACUUUUGUGAGAUUGCUAUUCACCUAAAACUGACACCUGGACUUUAACUGUCCAGCUUGGGUGAGUUUGUGCUCAUGAUAGCUUGAGUGGAACCUGAUGUGGUCUUCUGCUUUGUAGCUCAUCCAUCUCAAGGUUUGAUGUAUUGUGAGUUCUGACAUGAUUUUCUGCUCACCUAUACUACUAUACACUUUCUGUAAGCUCAGGCCAGUCUGCUCAUUCUCUUCUGAUCUCUAUCAACAAGGUGUUUCAGUUCACAAUGACUUCAGAAGAAGUUAAGCAUUUUGGAAUGGUACAGUCAGAGCCCAGAUCUCAAUCUUAUCAAAAUCCCAUCGAAUGCCUCCAAGGGUGCUGAGCAGAGACAAUCCCUUCACAACUGGCUAGAUCUGGAGCAUUUUCUCAGAAAGAAUCGAAAAAGUUUAUAAGUGAAGUUGGAUUACUUUAUAUGCAGUUGCACAGAUGUUAUAUGACUGUACUGUAUUAUUCAUUUAUUCAUUCAUUUUCUACCGCUUAUCCGAACUUCUUGGGUCAAAGGGAGCCUGUGCCUAUCUCAGGCGUCAUUGGGCAUCA